Molecule: ribosomal RNA, 255 nt
Filed under: uncultured bacterium
Lineage: Bacteria
Description: partial 16S ribosomal RNA
Rfam family: Bacterial small subunit ribosomal RNA
Source: RNAcentral
UACGAAGGGUGCAAGCGUUUAGUCGGAAUUACUGGGCGUAAAGCGUGCGUAGGCGGUCUCUUAAGUCCGUUGUGAAAGCCCUGGGCUCAACCUGGGAACUGCAGUGGAUACUGAGAAGCUAGAGUGUGUCAGAGGAUGGUGGAAUUCCCGGUGUAGCGGUGAAAUGCGUAGAGAUCGGGAGGAACAUCAAUUGCGAAGGCAGCUCGCUGGGACGUCACUGACGCUGAGACGCGAAAGCGUGGGGAGCGAACGAGG